GACGAACGCUGGCGGCGUGCCUAAUACAUGCAAGUAGAACGCACAGUUUAUACCGUAGCUUGCUACACCAUAAACUGUGAGUUGCGAACGGGUGAGUAACGCGUAGGUAACCUGCCUGGUAGCGGGGGAUAACUAUUGGAAACGAUAGCUAAUACCGCAUAAUAUUGAUUAUUGCAUGAUAAUUGAUUGAAAGAUGCUAUUGCAUCACUACCAGAUGGACCUGCGUUGUAUUAGCUAGUAGGUGAGGUAACGGCUCACCUAGGCGACGAUACAUAGCCGACCUGAGAGGGUGAUCGGCCACACUGGGACUGAGACACGGCCCAGACUCCUACGGGAGGCAGCAGUAGGGAAUCUUCGGCAAUGGACGAAAGUCUGACCGAGCAACGCCGCGUGAGUGAAGAAGGUUGUCGGAUCGUAAAGCUCGGUUGUAAGAGAAGAACGGGUGUGAGAGUGGAAAGUUCACACUGUGACGGUAUCUUACCAGAAAGGGACGGCUAACUACGUG
This 505-nucleotide ribosomal RNA is filed under the name uncultured bacterium. Its description in RNAcentral is "partial 16S ribosomal RNA". It matches the Rfam family "Bacterial small subunit ribosomal RNA", at positions 28 to 507 of the family's 1533-position model. The record is from RNAcentral.